RNAcentral lists this ribosomal RNA (465 nucleotides) under Vreelandella stevensii. RNAcentral describes it as "partial 16S ribosomal RNA". It matches the Rfam family "Bacterial small subunit ribosomal RNA", at positions 338 to 795 of the family's 1533-position model. The record is from RNAcentral. Lineage: Bacteria; Pseudomonadati; Pseudomonadota; Gammaproteobacteria; Oceanospirillales; Halomonadaceae.
CCUACGGGGUGCAGCAGUGGGGUAUAUUGGACAAUGGGCGAAAGCCUGAUCCAGCCAUGCCGCGUGUGUGAAGAAGGCCUUCGGGUUGUAAAGCACUUUCAGUGGGGAAGAAAGCCUUGGGGCUAAUACCCUCGAGGAAGGACAUCACCCACAGAAGAAGCACCGGCUAACUCCGUGCCAGCAGCCGCGGUAAUACGGAGGGUGCGAGCGUUAAUCGGAAUUACUGGGCGUAAAGCGCGCGUAGGCGGUCUGAUAAGCCGGUUGUGAAAGCCCCGGGCUCAACCUGGGAACGGCAUCCGGAACUGUCAGGCUAGAGUGCAGGAGAGGAAGGUAGAAUUCCCGGUGUAGCGGUGAAAUGCGUAGAGAUCGGGAGGAAUACCAGUGGCGAAGGCGGCCUUCUGGACUGACACUGACGCUGAGGUGCGAAAGCGUGGGUAGCAAACAGGAUUAGAUACCCCGGUAGUC